UGAGGAAUAUUGGUCAAUGGGCGAGAGCCUGAACCAGCCAAGUAGCGUGCAGGACGACGGCCCUAUGGGUUGUAAACUGCUUUUAUGUGGGGAUAAAGUGCGUGACGUGUCAUGCAUUGCAGGUACCACAUGAAUAAGGACCGGCUAAUUCCGUGCCAGCAGCCGCGGUAAUACGGAAGGUCCAGGCGUUAUCCGGAUUUAUUGGGUUUAAAGGGAGCGUAGGCUGUUUGUUAAGCGUGUUGUGAAAUGUAAGAGCUCAACUUUUAGAUUGCAGCGCGAACUGGCAGACGUGAGUGCGCACAACGUAGGCGGAAUUCAUGGUGUAGCGGUGAAAUGCUUAGAUAUCAUGACGAACUCCGAUUGCGAAGGCAGCUUACGGGAGCGCAACUGACGCUAAAGCUCGAAGGUGCGGGUAUCGAACAGG
Molecule: ribosomal RNA, 424 nt
Filed under: Verrucomicrobiota bacterium
Lineage: Bacteria; Pseudomonadati; Verrucomicrobiota
Description: Verrucomicrobia bacterium partial 16S ribosomal RNA
Rfam family: Bacterial small subunit ribosomal RNA
Source: RNAcentral